UACAGAGGUGGCAAGCGUUGUUCGGAAUUAUUGGGCGUAAAGGGCUCGUAGGCGGUUUGUCGCGUCGGGAGUGAAAACACCGGGCUUAACUCGGUGCUUGCUUUCGAUACGGGCAGACUAGAGGUAUGCAGGGGAGAACGGAAUUCCUGGUGUAGCGGUGAAAUGCGCAGAUAUCAGGAGGAACACCGGUGGCGAAGGCGGUUCUCUGGGCAUUACCUGACGCUGAGGAGCGAAAGUGUGGGGAGCGAACAGG
RNAcentral lists this ribosomal RNA (253 nucleotides) under uncultured bacterium. RNAcentral describes it as "partial 16S ribosomal RNA". It matches the Rfam family "Bacterial small subunit ribosomal RNA", at positions 524 to 776 of the family's 1533-position model. The record is from RNAcentral.